AUGUACUACAUUUACUUUACUUUUAGCUUAUGAAUAAUCCUUUCAAACUUGUAGUAGCAC
This 60-nucleotide transfer RNA is filed under the name Extubocellulus spinifer. Lineage: Eukaryota; Bacillariophyta; Thalassiosirophyceae; Cymatosirales; Cymatosiraceae. The record is from RNAcentral.